GAUGAAGAACGCAGUGAAAUGCGAUAAGUAAUGUGAAUUGCAGAAUUCAGAGAAUCAUCGAAUCUUUGAACGCACAUUGCGCCCGCCAGUAUUCUGGCGGGCAUGCCUGUCUGAGCGUCAUUUCAACCCUCAUGCCCCUAGGGCGUGGUGUUGGGGAUCGGCCAAAGCCCGCGAGGGACGGCCGGCCCCUAAAUCUAGUGGCGGACCCGUCGUGGCCUCCUCUGCGAAGUAGUGAUAUUCCGCAUCGGAGAGCGACGAGCCCCUGCCGUUAAACCCCCAACUUUCCAAGGUUGACCUCAGAUCAGGUAGGAAUACCCGCUGAACUUAAGCAUAUCAAUAAGCGGAGGA
Molecule: unclassified non-coding RNA, 348 nt
Filed under: soil metagenome
Description: partial contains 5.8S ribosomal RNA, internal transcribed spacer 2, and large subunit ribosomal RNA
Rfam family: 5.8S ribosomal RNA (bases 1-120)
Source: RNAcentral